This is a long non-coding RNA of Cornus florida, 1575 nucleotides long. RefSeq lists it as uncharacterized. The record is from RefSeq and is a predicted model, not a curated record. NCBI's taxonomy places the organism in Eukaryota, Viridiplantae, Streptophyta, Magnoliopsida, Cornales, Cornaceae. The transcript has 2 exons.
UAGAGAUGUUGCACACUACUUGAUCUUAUCCGAGCGGUGCUGGGUUUGUGGGGGCGGGGAUGGGAGAGAGUCUCACCCACCGCCUUUAAUAGGGUGGCCGACGGCGGCUACGCUCACUCACCACCACUUACGCCUCCCCCAUCUUACACUGCGAUGAAGACUGCCCGCAGUCAUAGCCCUCCUUAAUUUCAUUGAUUCAUCGAAUCAAUGAAUUGGGCGAUGAUGGCCAAGCGGGCUAUUCCCAUCAAACUAAAAAAAACUCACAAUUUCGAUUCUUUUUUCUUUGAUUUUUUAUUUAUUUAUUAUUGUUAUGAUUUCUGUAUCUUCUAGUGUUUGUAUAGGUUAUGAUGCAGAUAACAUUCAAAUAAAAAAAACCCUCGGAAGCAUUCUCAAAAAUCAGAAUGAAUAUUAUGUGGUUAGGUCUCAGAACUUUGUUAUAAGGGGUUGGUGUUAUUAUACCCUUGAUUGGUUUGCUCUGAAGACAACUAAGUUGUCCGGUUUCGGUACAUUAGGGCAGGACAGGACUUGGUAUGUAUUGGUCGCCUUCGUUUCUUGGUACUUAAGAAUGGCAAACUUAUAUAUAAAUUCAUGCCCUCACAGUAGGGAGUUGUUUGAGUUGGUUUAGCUCUAUUGGGUGUUCAGAGCUCUGUGAAUUAGUCACUUAUUUGUAUAUGUUGAAUGCAUCUAUAAGAUUUAUAUCAAUUUAAAUCUCAAUAUGCAUAACCUUUUAUAAUGUCAAUCAUGCAAAACCUGUUGUAUUCUCUUGAUUAAUUCUCAGGAUAUUGGUAGAUGACAAAAUUCUGUUUGGAGGAUAUGCAGAUAUGAGAUUCCUGGAGUGGUUGGUCCAAUUUUUGAGUUGCUUGAGUUAAUUUUCAUGGUACAUAUUUACUGAUUCAUGGCAUUGACUUCCUAAGCAUCUACCCCUUAUUCCUGAGUCCUGUGUUACAUGGUCCCAAAUUAAGGUGUUUUCACUAUUGCUGAUCUAUCCGGGCCUUCUUGGCCUAUGCUUGAAUGUCAUGUUUCAAUUUUCAACGACUUAAUGUAUGCUUGAAUGUUAUGUUUCAACUUUCAACGACUUAACUUAUAUGUAAGUAAAUUAAUCGCUUGUAAGCUUAAUUUAUAUGAUUAAUUCAAUUUGCAUCAUUAUUCAUUGUUGAUCUGGAUUCAAACUUUUAACUGGCAAAGUUUCUAUCAAUUUAGAUUUCACUUGAAGUUUGUCAAUUUUGGAAUUGGUUUAUGUAGAUAUAAUUGCAAAGAUAUGACCUUUUUGUGCAGAUAAUUACAGGAUACCAUCUGAGUCAUCUGGCUAUGGGAUGGCUUUGGAUGGUCAAAGGUAGAUGAGUUCAUUGGUGUUUGAAGUUCAUAACUAUCUUCUCAAACAAAUGCAGCCCAGAAGAGUUGCUUGCUCAUUUUAGAAGACUCACAAGUGCCCAUGGCAAGUUUUGGCCUUCUAGAACUUUCCUUGAUUUAUUUUUCAAAUUGUAUUGAUAUGCUUCAAGUUGAGUUAGGCUAUGACAUUGCAUGUUCCUGGAUUGCAUCCAAUGAGAAAUCCUCUACUUUUUUUCUGAAAUCCAA